This 672-nucleotide ribosomal RNA is filed under the name Nocardiopsis sp. YIM 92369. RNAcentral's name for it is "bacterial SSU rRNA". It matches the Rfam family "Bacterial small subunit ribosomal RNA", at positions 60 to 736 of the family's 1533-position model. Lineage: Bacteria; Bacillati; Actinomycetota; Actinomycetes; Streptosporangiales; Nocardiopsidaceae. The record is from RNAcentral.
AGUCGAGCGGUAAGGCCCUUCGGGGUACACGAGCGGCGAACGGGUGAGUAACACGUGAGCAACCUGCCCCUGACUCCGGGAUAAGCGGUGGAAACGCCGUCUAAUACCGGAUACGACCUGUCACCUCAUGGUGGCGGGUGGAAAGUUUUUCGGUCGGGGAUGGGCUCGCGGCCUAUCAGCUAGUUGGUGGGGUAAAGGCCUACCAAGGCGAUUACGGGUAGCCGGCCUGAGAGGGCGACCGGCCACACUGGGACUGAGACACGGCCCAGACUCCUGCGGGAGGCAGCAGUGGGGAAUAUUGCGCAAUGGGCGAAAGCCUGACGCAGCGACGCCGCGUGGGGGAUGACGGCCUUCGGGUUGUAAACCUCUUUUACCACCAACGCAGGCUCCCAGUUCUCUGGGGGUUGACGGUAGGUGGGGAAUAAGGACCGGCUAACUACGUGCCAGCAGCCGCGGUAAUACGUAGGGUCCGAGCGUUGUCCGGAAUUAUUGGGCGUAAAGAGCUCGUAGGCGGCGUGUCGCGUCUGCUGUGAAAGACCGGGGCUUAACUCCGGUUCUGCAGUGGAUACGGGCAUGCUAGAGGUAGGUAGGGGAGACUGGAAUUCCUGGUGUAGCGGUGAAAUGCGCAGAUAUCAGGAGGAACACCGGUGGCGAAGGCGGGUCUCUGGGCCU